RNA transcript from Corapipo altera (White-ruffed manakin), 1893 nucleotides. It is a transcript of the gene named interleukin 18 binding protein, with no coding region annotated. The record is from RefSeq and is a predicted model, not a curated record. NCBI's taxonomy places the organism in Eukaryota, Metazoa, Chordata, Aves, Passeriformes, Pipridae. The transcript is spliced from 6 exons.
CAAGCACCUGUGGCACCCAGAGCUCGGCUGGUUGGUGUUGGUGGGAGCAGGGAGGUGGCAGAGGAGCACAGGGCACUGGGUGCUGCCAUGAGAGUGGCCUCUGGCCCGUCGCUGCCCACUGGACACCCGUGGGUGCUGUGGGGAGGAUGUGGCUGCUGACCUCAUCCCAGCAGGAGGACAGGGACUUGGCAGGUCCCCAAGAUAAACAUUCCUGUUCCCGCCACCUUUCUGCCUUGCUGGGAACAGGGAUAACGAAACUCGCUGGGAAAUUAGGGACUUUUUACCAGGCAGUGCCAGGGCCUGCAGCUGUGCCUGCGCUGGCUCCUGGCCUUGAGGGUGCUGGGGAACGGGACUGGUGGGUUGUUGAAACCAUGUCUGCUGCCAAGGAGCUGGCUCAGGGGAUGAGGGGGCUCUGCUGUGGGACAGGGGAGAGGGUCCCUGUCCUGCCCUUGCUCAGGCUUCCCACGGCCAAGCGCCAGCGUGAAGCCUGGGUUGGGUCCUGGGGGUUCCUCUCUGCUAAGCUGUUGCCCUGCCCCAGCUGGGACACCCGGGGGUCAGCAGCCAGGGCUCCCCCCACCCGCUGUGCAUGCUCAGUCCCCCGGGGGCUUAACCCACCUCCCUCUCCUCUUGUGCAGACCCUGCCUUGCCCCUGCCCCCAGAGUGUCAGGGGGCAAACCCGCAUGUCCCAGAGUCCUGUGACGCCCCUUGGCUCAGGCAGUGCCCCAUGCGAUGGACACGGGGGCCCAACCGAGCCCUGCUCCUUCAUCCCUGGGGGGGCCCAUGGGUGCUCGCCCAGGAGCGGGUGGGACACACGGGCUCCUGGGACUCCCUGCCUUGCUCCUCCUGCUUCUGCCCUGCUGGGCCCUGGCUCUUCCCUGUGCAGGUGCCAUGGCCCUGCAGCUCCCCACCAUCACCAUCCUGCGGAUGCCAGCAGAGGCCCCCUGUCCAGGCGAGAGCGUGACGGUGUCAUGUGAGGCGACAAGUGGGCUCCCAGAGCUGACGCUGCUCUACUGGCUGGGGAACAGCUCCUUUGUGGAGAGCCUGUACCCAGAUGGGGCCGUGUACGAGGGGACAGUGCAUGGCUGCUUCUGCUUACUGUGACCUGUGGAUGUGUCCACGUGGGAGCAAGAAACCCCAAGAUGUCUGUGGCCAUGGAUAUGUCUGUGCUGCAGCAGGAGCAUCUCUGAAGGGAAUGUGGCCCAAGGUACAUCCUGAAGCAUCCGUGGCUGUGCAGGAAGUCAUGCUGGAGCACCCUGAGGUGUGUGACCAUGGAUAAACUCACAACAGAGCGGGUACACCCCUGGAAGGACUGCAGCCAUGGAGAAGGCCACACUGGAGCAGAAGAACCUGAGGCUCCCACAGAAUCGCUCUGGUUAGAUGGCAGCUCGGGAGAUCUUCAGUCCAACCCCCUGCUGCAAGCAGGACCACCUCUGGGAUCAGAGAAGGCAGCUCAGCAUUUUCUGCAGCUGGGUCCUAAAAUCUCUCAAGGAUGGAGCCUGCACACCUUCAUUAGGCAACCUGCUCCACUGCCUGCCUGAUAUCAUGGGGCAACUUUUUUCCAUGUAUUAACCUCAUCUUCCCUUGUCCAGGCUGUGUGCCUAGUUCCCCCACACUUUUCUCACAGUGACAUGCACCCCUGCCCAUUUUAGUGGCUCUCCACCGGACCAUUUCAGUUGAUCUGUAUUUUCCCAGGGAAGGGCCUGUCAUCCAGCCCAUGCUGGAUGUGUGGACACCUGCAGUUUCCCCAAAUUGGGGAGCUUGACUUCAUCUUUUGUGAUGAUGGCAAACUGCUCACGUGUCCAGAAAUUCAAGCACGCAGCAGUAACCGGGGUUUGUUGGGAAGAAACCAUGAGAUUAAUAAAUCCUUGGGCUUUCUAACAGAGUGAAUUAAAA